UAGGGAAUUUUGCGCAAUGGGGGAAACCCUGACGCAGCAACACCGCGUGAAUGUUAAGCCCUUCGGGGUGUAAAGUUCUGUCAGUAGGGACGAAAUUUGACUGUACCUACAAAGGAAGCACCGGCUAACUCCGUGCCAGCAGCCGCGGUAAUACGGGGGGUGCAAGCGUUGUCCGGAAUUACUGGGCGUAAAGCGCACGCAGGCGGCGUGACGCGUCAGAAGUGAAAUCCCCGGGCUCAACCUGGGAACUGCUUUUGAAACGGUCAUGCUUGAAUCAUGGAGAGGGUAGCGGAAUUCCGAGUGUAGAGGUGAAAUUCGUAGAUAUUAGGAGGAACACCAGUGGCGAAGGCGGCCUGCUGGGCCUUAACUGACGCUGAGGCUCGAAAGCGUGGGGAGCAAACA
RNAcentral lists this ribosomal RNA (402 nucleotides) under uncultured bacterium. RNAcentral's name for it is "bacterial SSU rRNA". It matches the Rfam family "Bacterial small subunit ribosomal RNA", at positions 355 to 774 of the family's 1533-position model. The record is from RNAcentral.